Molecule: long non-coding RNA, 104 nt
Filed under: Phasianus colchicus (ring-necked pheasant)
Lineage: Eukaryota; Metazoa; Chordata; Aves; Galliformes; Phasianidae
Description: lncRNA (ENSPCLG00000017060.1)
Source: RNAcentral
CUGCUCCUCAUUGCACUGCUGCUCACUGCACUGCCCCUUAUUGCACUGCUCACUGCACUGCUCCUCAUGCUGCUGCUUACUGCACUGCUCCUUACUGCACUGCU